UACGUAGGGUGCGAGCGUUAAUCGGAAUUACUGGGCGUAAAGCGUGCGUAGGCGGUUCGUUAAGUUCGUUGUGAAAGCCCCGGGCUCAACCUGGGAACUGCGCUUGUAACUAGCGGGCUAGAGUGCGGCAGAGGGGGGUGGAAUUCCACGUGUAGCAGUGAAAUGCGUAGAGAUGUGGAGGAACACCGAUGGCGAAGGCAGCCCCCUGGGUCGACACUGACGCUCAUGCACAAAAGCGUGGGGAGCAAACAGG
This 253-nucleotide ribosomal RNA is filed under the name uncultured bacterium. RNAcentral's name for it is "partial 16S ribosomal RNA". It matches the Rfam family "Bacterial small subunit ribosomal RNA", at positions 524 to 776 of the family's 1533-position model. The record is from RNAcentral.